This 501-nucleotide ribosomal RNA is filed under the name Fusarium verticillioides. RNAcentral describes it as "eukaryotic LSU rRNA". The stretch from base 134 to 287 matches the Rfam family "5.8S ribosomal RNA". The record is from RNAcentral. Lineage: Eukaryota; Fungi; Ascomycota; Sordariomycetes; Hypocreales; Nectriaceae.
CUCCAACCCCUGUGACAUACCAAUUGUUGCCUCGGCGGAUCAGCCCGCUCCCGGUAAAACGGGACGGCCCGCCAGAGGACCCCUAAACUCUGUUUCUAUAUGUAACUUCUGAGUAAAACCAUAAAUAAAUCAAAACUUUCAACAACGGAUCUCUUGGUUCUGGCAUCGAUGAAGAACGCAGCAAAAUGCGAUAAGUAAUGUGAAUUGCAGAAUUCAGUGAAUCAUCGAAUCUUUGAACGCACAUUGCGCCCGCCAGUAUUCUGGCGGGCAUGCCUGUUCGAGCGUCAUUUCAACCCUCAAGCCCAGCUUGGUGUUGGGACUCGCGAGUCAAAUCGCGUUCCCCAAAUUGAUUGGCGGUCACGUCGAGCUUCCAUAGCGUAGUAGUAAAACCCUCGUUACUGGUAAUCGUCGCGGCCACGCCGUUAAACCCCAACUUCUGAAUGUUGACCUCGGAUCAGGUAGGAAUACCCGCUGAACUUAAGCAUAUCAAUAAGCCGGAGG